CAGCCGCCGCGGGAAUACAGAGGGUGCAAGCGUUAAUCGGAUUUACUGGGCGUAAAGGGCGCGUAGGUGGUUAUUUAAGUGAGAUGUGAAAUCCCCGGGCUUAACCUGGGAACUGCAUCUUAUACUGGGUAACUGGAGUGCAGUAGAGGGUAGUGGAAUUUCCGGUGUAGCGGUGAAAUGCGUAGAUAUCGGAAGGAACACCAGUGGCGAAGGCGGCUACCUGGACUGAGACUGACACUGAGGCGCGAGAGCGUGGGGAGCAAACAGGAUUAGAUACCCCGGUAGUCCCUGUCUCUUAUAC
Molecule: ribosomal RNA, 301 nt
Filed under: uncultured bacterium
Lineage: Bacteria
Description: partial 16S ribosomal RNA
Rfam family: Bacterial small subunit ribosomal RNA
Source: RNAcentral